AACGAACGCUGGCGGCAUGCCUAACACAUGCAAGUCGAACGAGACCUUCGGGUCUAGUGGCGCACGGGUGCGUAACGCGUGGGAACCUGCCCUUAGGUUCGGAAUAACUCCCCGAAAGGGGUGCUAAUACCGGAUAAUGUCUUCGGACCAAAGAUUUAUCGCCUUUGGAUGGGCCCGCGUUGUAUUAGCUAGUUGGUAGUGUAAAAGCCUACCAAGGCUACGAUCCAUAGCUGGUCUGAGAGGAUGAUCAGCCACACUGGGACUGAGACACGGCCCAGAAUACUACGGGAGGGAGCAGUGGGGAAUCCUGGAAUACGGGGUAAAGGAUGAUCCCGCAAUGGUGCGUAAGUGCUGAAGUUCUUAGAGUAGUACAGCUGUUUUACACGGCAUGAUACUGACAGUACCGGGAGAAUAAGCUCCGGCUAACUCCGUG
RNAcentral lists this ribosomal RNA (433 nucleotides) under uncultured bacterium. Its description in RNAcentral is "partial 16S ribosomal RNA". It matches the Rfam family "Bacterial small subunit ribosomal RNA", at positions 29 to 507 of the family's 1533-position model. The record is from RNAcentral.